RNAcentral lists this ribosomal RNA (1452 nucleotides) under uncultured Zymomonas sp. Its description in RNAcentral is "bacterial SSU rRNA". It matches the Rfam family "Bacterial small subunit ribosomal RNA". The record is from RNAcentral. Lineage: Bacteria; Pseudomonadati; Pseudomonadota; Alphaproteobacteria; Sphingomonadales; Zymomonadaceae.
AGGCGUUUGAUUCUGGCUCAGUGAGAACGCUGGCGGCAUGCUUAACACAUGCAAGUCGAUAGAAGGCUUCGGCCUUAGUGGCGCACGGGUGCGUAACGCGUGGGAAUCUGCAGUCAGGUACGGAAUAACUAGGGGAAACUCGAGCUAAUACCGUAUGACAUCGAGAGAUCAAAGAUUUAUCGCCUGAAGAUGAGCCCGCGUUGGAUUAGCUAGUUGGUAGACUAAAAGCUUACCAAGGCGACGAUCCAUAGCUGGUCUGUUAGGAUGAUCAGCCACACUGGGACUGAGACACGGCCCAGACUCCUACGGGAGGCAGCAGUGGGGAAUAUUGGACAAUGGGCGAAACCCUGAUCCAGCAAUGCCGCGUGAUAGAAGAAGGCCUUAGGGUUGUAAAGCUCUGUUACCCGGGAUGAUAAUGACAGUACCGGAAGAAUAAGCUCCGGCUAACUCCACGCCAGCAGCCGCGGUAAUACGGAGGGAGCUAGCGUUGUUCGGACUUACUGGGCGUAAAGCGUACGUAGGCGGUUUAAUAAGUCAGCGGUGAAAGCCCAGAGCUCAACUCUGGAACUGCCUUUGAGACUGUUAGACUAGAACAUAGAAGAGGUAAGUGGAAUUCCGAGUGUAGAGGUGAAAUUCGUAGAUAUACGGAAGAACACCAGUGGCGAAGGCGACUUAGUGGUCUAUAGUUGACGAGGAGGUACGAAAGCGUGGGUAGCAAACAGGAUUAGAUACCCUGGUAGUCCACGCCGUAUACGAUGAUAACUAGCUGUCCGGGUACAUGGUAUCUACGGUGGCGGAGCUAACGCAUUAAGUUAUCCGCCUGGGGAGUACGGUCGCAAGAUUAAAACUCAAAGAUCUUGACGGCGGCCUGCACAAGCGGUGGAGCAUGUGGUUAGAAUUCGAAGCAACGCGCAGAACCUUACCAGCGUUUGACAUCCUGAUCGCGGAAAGUGGAGACACAUUCUUUCAGUUCGGCUGGAUCAGAGACAUCUGCUGCAUGGCUGUCGUCAGCUCGUGGAGUGAGAUGUUGGGUUAAACCCCGCAACGAGCGCAACCCUGGCCUCUAGUUGCCAUCAUUAAGUUGGGCACUUUAGAGGAACUGCCGGACAUAAGCCGGAGGUGGUGGGGAUGACGUCAAGUCCUCAUGGCCCUUACGCGCUGGGCUACACACGUGCUACAAUGGCGGUGACAGAGGGCCGCAAGCCUGCAAAGGUUAGCUAAUCUCAAAAAGCCGUCUCAGUUCGGAUUGUUCUCUGCAACUCGAGCUCAUGAAGGCGGAAUCGCUAGUAAUCGCGGAUCAGCAUGCCGCGACGAAUACGUUCCCAGGCCUUGUACACACCGCCCGUCACACCAUGGGAGUUGGAUUCACCCGAAGGCGCUGCGCUAACCCGCAACGAGGCAGGCGACCACGGUGGGUUUAGCGACUGGCGUGAAGUCGUAACAAGGUAACCA